This 223-nucleotide unclassified non-coding RNA is filed under the name Hevea brasiliensis (rubber tree). Lineage: Eukaryota; Viridiplantae; Streptophyta; Magnoliopsida; Malpighiales; Euphorbiaceae. The record is from RNAcentral.
GAUCGAACAUCAGAUUGAUUUUGUCUUGGAGCAGUAAUUCUUAAUUGACCAGCUUACAAAAGUAAUCCUGAGGAGACAAAGGAACUUCAGAGGCAAAUUGAGGAGUUAUUGGCAAAAAGGUAUGCAAGAGAAAGCAUGAGUCCAUAUGCAGUUCCAGUGCUAUUAGUGCCUAAAAAGGAUGGUUCUUGGAGGAUGUGUGUUGACUGUCGAGCUGUCAACAAGA